AUGGCUAGAGAAGGAGAUGUGCCUGACAAUGAAACAGAGGGUUAUGCAAAUCCCAUCUCACGACGGAACUCAAAAAGGGCUGCUAAGCGGCAGCCGCAUGGCGAUGAUAAGGACGGGGAUGAAGAGGGUGACGAUGGUGUCGAAAGAUUCCUCUUAGUAAAACUGCAGAGAAGAAAGGUGCGCACGGAGGCAGUAUCCAAAGGGAUAGAUGCCACAUCUUCUGCAGCAGUCGCUGAGCUACUUUUGCAAGGAGAAAUUUGGUUAGGGGGGAAAGGGGAAGUCAAGGAGGAAGGAUCUGAACAGGAGGAGAAAGGAUCACCUCCUUUUCACCCUUGUUGGUGCUGCCUGGUAUUUUCUGAUAUCUCUGGCGAUGGAGAUCCAGACCUGGGAACCCCUUGUUCAUCAGGGAAGAAGGUGGGGGCUUGGGGAAAAGAAGUUGGUGGCCAGGAGGGUGUGAGAGCUUCUGAAGGGGAUGGGAGGGCAUGUGAUGGCCCGAGGACUGCGUCCAGUGUGUGGUUUGUUGAGUUGGCAUGCAUCUGCUGCUACCGGUGGAGGGCUUUCCUUUUCUGGGAUCGAUGGGGACCGAAUCUUUUCUUUUCUGGGGGCCGCUCGGGACCGCUAGGGAGCGGCCGGCCGCUCCCUAGAUGCGUCCUAGAGGAAUACGGGAAAGUGUUUUUUCAGCCAAGAUUGAAGGGUUACGGGGAAACUAAACUGGUUUCCUUGCCUGUUGGCUUUGCUGGGCGAUGCUAG
Molecule: ribosomal RNA, 750 nt
Filed under: Triticum aestivum (bread wheat)
Lineage: Eukaryota; Viridiplantae; Streptophyta; Magnoliopsida; Poales; Poaceae
Description: partial small subunit ribosomal RNA
Source: RNAcentral